RNAcentral lists this ribosomal RNA (303 nucleotides) under Triticum aestivum (bread wheat). Its description in RNAcentral is "partial small subunit ribosomal RNA". The record is from RNAcentral. Lineage: Eukaryota; Viridiplantae; Streptophyta; Magnoliopsida; Poales; Poaceae.
AUGGUUGGUUACUUGCUGACAAGGUACAUACAUAUAUAUCUCUAUCUGUCAUCCGUGGGGUUUGUAUGUAGAGACGCCCUGUAUGAAUGUGAAUGUAUAUGCUUCUAUCCACAAACUAUUCGGAACCAGUGUGGAUGGCGUUCUUGCAGGUUGCUUGAUUUCUCGCCCGAGACAUGCAUAAUCCACCAGUGUAAGAACGGGGAAAUAGUCCAAAGCAGGCAAGAAUAUGAAGAGGCCCGCAGGUCUCAGGCUCGGCAUAUCCCAAAGAAAAUAAUGGGUGAUUCGAGUUUGGUGCGUUGCUAA